GUCGAGCGGACAGAUGGGAGCUUGCUCCCUGAUAGUUAGCGGCGGACGGGUGAGUAACACGUGGGUAACCUGCCUGUAAGACUGGGAUAACUCCGGGAAACCGGGGCUAAUACCGGAUGGUUGUCUGAACCGCAUGGUUCAGACAUAAAAGGUGGCUUCGGCUACCACUUACAGAUGGACCCGCGGCGCAUUAGCUAGUUGGUGAGGUAACGGCUCACCAAGGCGACGAUGCGUAGCCGACCUGAGAGGGUGAUCGGCCACACUGGGACUGAGACACGGCCCAGACUCCUACGGGAGGCAGCAGUAGGGAAUCUUCCGCAAUGGACGAAAGUCUGACGGAGCAACGCCGCGUGAGUGAUGAAGGUUUUCGGAUCGUAAAGCUCUGUUGUUAGGGAAGAACAAGUGCCGUUCAAAUAGGGCGGCACCUUGACGGUACCUAACCAGAAAGCCACGGCUAACUACGUGCCAGCAGCCGCGGUAAUACGUAGGUGGCAAGCGUUGUCCGGAAUUAUUGGGCGUAAAGGGCUCGCAGGCGGUUUCUUAAGUCUGAUGUGAAAGCCCCCGGCUCAACCGGGGAGGGUCAUUGGAAACUGGGGAACUUGAGUGCAGAAGAGGAGAGUGGAAUUCCACGUGUAGCGGUGAAAUGCGUAGAGAUGUGGAGGAACACCAGUGGCGAAGGCGACUCUCUGGUCUGUAACUGACGCUGAGGAGCGAAAGCGUGGGGAGCGAACAGGAUUAGAUACCCUGGUAGUCCACGCCGUAAACGAUGAGUGCUAAGUGUUAGGGGGUUUCCGCCCCUUAGUGCUGCAGCUAACGCAUUAAGCACU
This 827-nucleotide ribosomal RNA is filed under the name Bacillus amyloliquefaciens. RNAcentral's name for it is "bacterial SSU rRNA". It matches the Rfam family "Bacterial small subunit ribosomal RNA", at positions 61 to 868 of the family's 1533-position model. The record is from RNAcentral. Lineage: Bacteria; Bacillati; Bacillota; Bacilli; Caryophanales; Bacillaceae.